This 323-nucleotide unclassified non-coding RNA is filed under the name soil metagenome. RNAcentral describes it as "partial contains 5.8S ribosomal RNA, internal transcribed spacer 2, and large subunit ribosomal RNA". The stretch from base 1 to 120 matches the Rfam family "5.8S ribosomal RNA", at positions 35 to 154 of the family's 154-position model. The record is from RNAcentral.
GAUGAAGAACGUAGCGAAAUGCGAUAAGUAAUGCGAAUUGCAGAAUUCAGUGAGUCAUCGAAUCUUUGAACGCACAUUGCGCCCUGUGGUAUUCCGCAGGGCAUGCCUGUUCGAGCGUCAUUUCAACCCUCAAGCUCUGCUUGGUGUUGGGCCCUGCCCGCUGCGGCCGGCCCUAAAGACAGUGGCGGUGCCGCCUGGCCCUGAGCGUAGUACAUCUCUCGCUCCAGUGCCCGGUGGUAGCCUGCCAGAACCCCAACUCUCGUGGUUGACCUCGGAUCUGGUAGGGAUACCCGCUGAACUUAAGCAUAUCAAUAAGCGGAGGA